CCUACGGGAGGCAGCAGUGGGGGAUAUUGCACAAUGGGGGGAACCCUGAUGCAGCGACGCCGCGUGGGUGAAGAAGCGCCUCGGCGCGUAAAGCCCUGUCAGCAGGGAAGAAAAUGACGGUACCUGAAGAAGAAGCCCCGGCUAACUACGUGCCAGCAGCCGCGGUUAUACGUAGGGGGCAAGCGUUAUCCGGAUUUACUGGGUGUAAAGGGGGCGCAGACGGCGAUGCAAGCCAGGAGUGAAAGCCCGGGGCCCAACCCCGGGACUGCUCUUGGAACUGCGUGGCUGGAGUGCAGGAGGGGCAGGCGGAAUUCCUGGUGUAGCGGUGAAAUGCGUAGGUAUCAGGAGGAACCCCGGUGGCGGAGGCGGCCUGCUGGACUGCAACUGACGUUGAGGCCCGAAAGCGUGGGGAGCAAACAGGAUUAGAUACCCUGGUAGUC
Molecule: ribosomal RNA, 440 nt
Filed under: uncultured bacterium
Lineage: Bacteria
Description: partial 16S ribosomal RNA
Rfam family: Bacterial small subunit ribosomal RNA
Source: RNAcentral